UCAGUACAGUUUGUGAGAGUUUUUUUCUCAGAGAUCUACCUUCCUGCUGAUAGUAAAGGUCAGAACUCAAGCAAGCAGCAGAAUAGGUUUUGCACGAAAAAUGAAGUGAGUUCCAAAUACCUAUUUGGUAUUAACUGAAAAAGAAAAUCUAUAGAAAUCUGGUGCACUUUGCAGUAUCUAAACAUUUAACACAUGCAUUUAUUUUAUUAUCAUUAACAAGGAAGAUGGAUGCGGACUUCAUCAAUACUUGCAUGAAUAGUAAGUGUGAAAAAUAUAUGAUGUUGUGAACAAAUGAAACUACGACUACUUCUAUGAUGGAGACAAUAACAUUCUUUCUUUUCACAUGCUUCAGAAGUGCUCCGAUAUAACUACAACCAAAAAAGUACAUAUCAAAACUUUAGAUAUCUAACUGCUUUAGAGAAAUGUGAAACCCCAUAUAUGGAGGGAACCUACACAGGGUUCAAAUUACCAAUAUUGGAAAUAUUUUCCUAUUCUUCCAAUAAAAACUUUUGUAAAGGAGAGAA
This is a long non-coding RNA of Neopsephotus bourkii (Bourke's parrot), 524 nucleotides long. RefSeq lists it as uncharacterized. The record is from RefSeq and is a predicted model, not a curated record. NCBI's taxonomy places the organism in Eukaryota, Metazoa, Chordata, Aves, Psittaciformes, Psittacidae. The transcript has 2 exons.